GUGGGGAAUAUUGGACAAUGGGCGAAAGCCUGAUCCAGCCAUGCCGCGUGUGUGAAGAAGGUCUUCGGAUUGUAAAGCACUUUAAGUUGGGAGGAAGGGCAGUAAGUUAAUACCUUGCUGUUUUGACGUUACCGACAGAAUAAGCACCGGCUAACUUCGUGCCAGCAGCCGCGGUAAUACGUAGGGGGCAAGCGUUGUCCGGAAUUACUGGGCGUAAAGCGCGCGUAGGUGGUUCGUUAAGUUGGAUGUGAAAGCCCCGGGCUCAACCUGGGAACUGCAUCCAAAACUGGCGAGCUAGAGUACGGUAGAGAGUGGUGGAAUUUCCUGUGUAGCGGUGAAAUGCGUAGAUAUAGGAAGGAACACCAGUGGCGAAGGCGACUACCUGGACUGAUACUGACACUGAGGUGCGAAAGCGUGGGGAGCAAACAGGAUUAGAAACCCGAGUAGUCC
Molecule: ribosomal RNA, 450 nt
Filed under: uncultured bacterium
Lineage: Bacteria
Description: partial 16S ribosomal RNA
Rfam family: Bacterial small subunit ribosomal RNA
Source: RNAcentral